UCCUACUUUCUUGGUUCUUCUUCAAA
RNAcentral lists this non-coding RNA (26 nucleotides) under Rattus norvegicus (Norway rat). Lineage: Eukaryota; Metazoa; Chordata; Mammalia; Rodentia; Muridae. The record is from RNAcentral.